CACAAGGGUGGAUGAUGUGGAUUAAUUCGAUGCAACGCGAAAAACCUUACCUACCCUUGACAUGUCUGGAAUCCCGAAGAGAUUUGGGAGUGCUCGCAAGAGAACCGGAACACAGGUGCUGCAUGGCUGUCGUCAGCUCGUGUCGUGAGAUGUUGGGUUAAGUCCCGCAACGAGCAACCCCUUGUCAUUAGUUGCUACGAAAGGGCACUCUAAUGAGACUGCCGGUGACAAACCGGAGGAAGGUGGAUGACGUCAAGUCCUCAUGGCCCUGCAGGGUAGGGCUUCACACGUCAUACAAUGGUCGGGACAGAGGGUCGCCAACCCGCGAGGGGGAGCCAAUCCCAGAAACCCGAUCGUAGUCCGGAUCGCAGUCUGCAACUCGACUGCGUGAAGUCGGAAUCGCUAGUAAUCGCGAUCGGCGCCGCAGUGAAUACGUUCCCGGCUUUCCUGUACACACCGCCCGUCACACCAUGGGAGUGGGUUUUACCAGAAGUAGUUAGCCUAACCGUAAGGAGGGCGAUUACCACGGUAGGAUUCAUGACUGGGGUGAAGUCGUAACAAGGUAG
Molecule: unclassified non-coding RNA, 566 nt
Filed under: uncultured Bordetella sp.
Lineage: Bacteria; Pseudomonadati; Pseudomonadota; Betaproteobacteria; Burkholderiales; Alcaligenaceae
Description: partial 16S-23S ribosomal RNA intergenic spacer
Rfam family: Bacterial small subunit ribosomal RNA
Source: RNAcentral